UACGAAGGGGGCUAGCGUUGCUCGGAAUCACUGGGCGUAAAGCGCACGUAGGCGGCUUUCUAAGUCAGGGGUGAAAUCCUGGAGCUCAACUCCAGAACUGCCUUUGAUACUGGGAAGCUCGAGUCCUGGAGAGGUGAGUGGAACUCCGAGUGUAGAGGUGAAAUUCGUAGAUAUUCGGAAGAACACCAGUGGCGAAGGCGGCUCACUGGCCCGGUACUGACGCUGAGGUGCGAAAGCGUGGGGAGCAAACAGG
RNAcentral lists this ribosomal RNA (253 nucleotides) under uncultured bacterium. RNAcentral describes it as "partial 16S ribosomal RNA". It matches the Rfam family "Bacterial small subunit ribosomal RNA", at positions 524 to 776 of the family's 1533-position model. The record is from RNAcentral.